RNAcentral lists this ribosomal RNA (484 nucleotides) under uncultured bacterium. RNAcentral's name for it is "partial 16S ribosomal RNA". It matches the Rfam family "Bacterial small subunit ribosomal RNA", at positions 29 to 507 of the family's 1533-position model. The record is from RNAcentral.
AUUGAACGCUGGCGGCAUGCUUUACACAUGCAAGUCGAACGGCAGCGCGGGCUUCGGCCUGGCGGCGAGUGGCGAACGGGUGAGUAAUACAUCGGAACGUGCCCAGUAGUGGGGGAUAGCUCGGCCAAAGCCGGAUUAAUACCGCAUACGACCUGAGGGUGAAAGCGGGGGAUCUUCGGACCUCGCGCUAUUGGAGCGGCCGAUGGCAGAUUAGCUAGUUGGUGGGGUAAAGGCCUACCAAGGCGACGAUCUGUAGCUGGUCUGAGAGGACGACCAGCCACACUGGGACUGAGACACGGCCCAGACUCCUACGGGAGGCAGCAGUGGGGAAUUUUGGACAAUGGGCGAAAGCCUGAUCCAGCAAUGCCGCGUGUGUGAUGAAGGCCUUCGGGUUGUAAAGCACUUUUGGCGGGAACGAAAAGGACUGUGCCAAUACCACGGUUCGAUGACGGUACCCGCAGAAUAAGCACCGGCUAACUACGUG